Long non-coding RNA from Ostrea edulis (European flat oyster), 1514 nucleotides. RefSeq lists it as uncharacterized. The transcript is spliced from 3 exons. The record is from RefSeq and is a predicted model, not a curated record. Lineage: Eukaryota; Metazoa; Mollusca; Bivalvia; Ostreida; Ostreidae.
GGAAAGUUUUACACUGCUCUACCAUCGUGUUUCUGUUUGUAAAGCUGUGUAACUCGGGUCACUCAGACAAAUCGUAUUCAGAAAUAAGAUCUAGAAAACGCACGCCUUUUCUAUCAUGCCCGAACACAAAUCCUCACUGAUGUCCAUGUGGUUACUAUUAGGAAAAUUUGACUUAAAUCCAGAUAUGACACAACAGUCUUCAAACAGGAAUGGAGAUAUUUUGAGUGUAUAGAAGAAAACAGGAUUAUGCUGAGAACUACUCACCGUAAAUCUUCGCCUGGCUGUUAAAUACAGGUACAUUAAUGAAGACGACUAGACAUGACUAAUACAAACAGAUAAGCAAAUCACCGGCGAGGUAGAUUUUCUCUCCAGGCAAUAUCAAGUAUCAAGUAUCGACUCAACAAUAUUUCCUUGGAGCAAGUGUCAUCUUGCGUUUAGCCAAUCUUAAAGAAUCGUGUGACGUCACAGGAGGGUGGAACUAUCUUAAGAUGAUGUAAGAAACUUGUGAUUCGCUGUGACAAUGCUAAUUACACUAGAAGUAAGGAGGUGAUUGUAGGUAAAACUCAGAAUCACACACUGAAGGAGAAAGCAAGUGAACUCCAUGUAUGCAUUGUACAUCUACAUUUCUAUAACCAUUUCUUCUCUCACAAAAAAGAGAUCUAAACUACCUGCAAUUUUUUACCUUGGUUACUAUUUUGUUUCUCACAGAAAAGACAAAUAAUUCACCUGUACAAGUCAACAAACUUACCUGUACAAGUCCACAAACUUACCUGGACAAAACGACUAACUUACUAGGACAAGACAACUAACUUACCUGGACAAGACGACUAACUUACCUGUACAAGAUGAGUAACUUACCUGUACAAGACGUACAAGAUGACUAACUUACCUGUACAAGAUGACUAACUUACCUGUACAAGAUGCAACUUUUGAGGGAAUGUUACAAAUAAAACAGUAUUCAGAGUGCAAAUGGCAAGGCCAAAAUAGAGCAACUGAUAUAAAUCUGAAUAGCCAGGACAUAUUUUAUAGAUACUGAUUUUGGAGGGUUAGCCUACAGAACACAUCCUUGUCCGUGAUAAACAUGAAGAAAUAUUGCACAUCACUGUAAUUUUAAUAUGGCUAACACAUGUACAUUAAAGUAGGCUUACAUUUAUAAAUGUUCUUAUUUUACUUUAACAUGCGCCUCUGAAUGUCUGUGGUAACAGUCUGUGGCACGUGUUCUUAAAAUAUAUAACACACUUUUCAAAAUGUUUCAAAGUUAUAAUCAUUGCAUAAAAAUGAUUAAAAAAGAAACAUGUUACGCUUUAAUGAAAUACUCGAAAUAAAGCGGAGUAUGUACAAUGACAAUGUACAAGCGGUCGCGCGGUUGGAUCCGCCCACUUAGUUAGGUUUACAAGCUAUACAGGACUCAGGAGGCCUAAAUAUAUAUUCUCUCGUUGUGGGUAGAAUAUUACAAGCCGCAGCGUUGUGCAAAUUUGAAAUUAUAUAAAACUGGCCAAUUCUAGUACUUACUU